This 791-nucleotide ribosomal RNA is filed under the name uncultured bacterium. RNAcentral describes it as "bacterial SSU rRNA". It matches the Rfam family "Bacterial small subunit ribosomal RNA", at positions 28 to 809 of the family's 1533-position model. The record is from RNAcentral.
GAUGAACGCUAGCUACAGGCUUAACACAUGCAAGUCGAGGGGCAGCAUCAUCAAAGCUUGCUUUGAUGGAUGGCGACCGGCGCACGGGUGAGUAACACGUAUCCAACCUGCCGACAACUCUGGGAUAGCCUUUCGAAAGAAAGAUUAAUACCGGAUGGCAUAGUUUUCCCGCAUGGGAUGACUAUUAAAGAAUUUCGGUCGCCGAUGGGGAUGCGUUCCAUUAGGCAGUUGGCGGGGUAACGGCCCACCAAACCAACGAUGGAUAGGGGUUCUGAGAGGAAGGUCCCCCACAUUGGAACUGAGACACGGUCCAAACUCCUACGGGAGGCAGCAGUGAGGAAUAUUGGUCAAUGGACGAGAGUCUGAACCAGCCAAGUAGCGUGAAGGAUGACUGCCCUAUGGGUUGUAAACUUCUUUUAUACGGGAAUAAAGUUAGCCACGUGUGGCUUUUUGUAUGUACCGUAUGAAUAAGGAUCGGCUAACUCCGUGCCAGCAGCCGCGGUAAUACGGAGGAUCCGAGCGUUAUCCGGAUUUAUUGGGUUUAAAGGGAGCGUAGGCGGGUUGUUAAGUCAGUUGUGAAAGUUUGCGGCUCAACCGUAAAAUUGCAGUUGAUACUGGCGACCUUGAGUGCAACAGAGGUAGGCGGAAUUCGUGGUGUAGCGGUGAAAUGCUUAGAUAUCACGAAGAACUCCGAUUGCGAAGGCAGCUUACUGGAUUGUAACUGACGCUGAUGCUCGAAAGUGUGGGUAUCAAACAGGAUUAGAUACCCUGGUAGUCCACACAGUAAACGA